GGGGACGAAACGGUUUCGACGGGGGUGAAGAGGUCAGGAGUGGCACGCCGGGGUUCCUCGGCGCCCCGUCAACAAACCGAGGGACAAAGUAAACGCAGACUAUGCGUAUCCUCUGGCUGCCUAAUUAACGGCAGUCACGCUCCUCUCGGGUUCCGCCCGUCGACCUGAGGGAGAGCGUCGGCCAGACGGGCUGGCUCGAAUCCUCGCCCCGGGGAUUCGGGCAAGACAAGACGGGGCUGGCUCCGCGGCAGCCUGGUCCGUUGCGCUGCCUGGAGCGAGAAGGAGCAGCGGACUAAGCGUGUAGAGGCUCCUCGCCAAACACCUCCGGACGUGGGUUCGACUCCCACCGUCUCCACCA
Molecule: transfer-messenger RNA, 358 nt
Filed under: bacterium
Lineage: Bacteria
Description: JADDFT01 sp013152765 X1 Standard tmRNA
Rfam family: transfer-messenger RNA
About the family: Bacterial tmRNA, also known as 10Sa RNA or SsrA, is named for its dual tRNA and mRNA-like properties. Its role is to liberate the mRNA from a stalled ribosome. To accomplish this part of the tmRNA is used as a reading frame that ends in a translation stop signal.
Source: RNAcentral